This 878-nucleotide ribosomal RNA is filed under the name Thelocarpon epibolum. RNAcentral's name for it is "SSU rRNA". It matches the Rfam family "Bacterial small subunit ribosomal RNA", at positions 370 to 1294 of the family's 1533-position model. The record is from RNAcentral. Lineage: Eukaryota; Fungi; Ascomycota; Thelocarpales; Thelocarpaceae.
AAUGGCCUAACGGCUGAACCAGCAAUUUGGAAGAUCGUAUAGCUAUUGCUAGUUGUGUGCCUAACAAUGGGAUAUAUAUCAUAAUACUCGUUGUAUCAUAGGCUAACAAUUUCUUAAUUGAGUAAAGAUCUGGGUAUAAUAAAAUUUGAUAAUGACAGAGCUUUAUAUCCAUAUGUCUUGACCAAAUCACGUGCCAGCAGUCGCGGUAAUACGUGGAAGACUAGUGUUAUUCAUCUUUAAUAGGUUUAAAGGGUACCUAGACGGUAUUUUCAGCCAAAUAAGGUACUGAUUUACUAGAGUUUGAUAUAAAAAGGUAGUAUUUUUGGUGUAGGGAUGAAAUUCUGUAAUACCUUAAGGACUGGUAGUAGGCGAAGGCAACCUUUUAUGUAAAAACUGACGUUGAGGGACGAAGGCUUGGGGAGCGAUAAGGAUUAGAUACCCUAGUAGUCCAAGCAGAAAAUUAUGAAUGUCAUAUGUUAGAUCCUUUUUAGCGUAUAAAUGAAAGUGCAAGCAUUCCACCUCAAGAGUAAUGCGGCAACGCAGGAACUGAAAUCAUUAGACCGUUUUUGAAACCAGUAGUGAAGUAUGUUGUUUAAUUCGAUGACCCGCGAAAAACCUUACCACAAUUCGAACCCUCCAAGCGUUGCACGGCUGUCUUCAGUUAAUGUCGUGAGAUUUUGGUUAGAUCCAUAAAAUUAACGUAAACCCUAACUUUAUUUUUAUUAUAAAGUUGUCCGUCACUAUAUUGGUUAUGGUAAUAGGGACUAAGACAAGUCAUCAUGGCCUUAAUAUUGUGGGCUAUAGACGUGCCACAUAUACCUAUACAAAGGGAUGCAAAAAUGUGAAUUAGAGCUAACCCCUAAAGUAGGAUAUAAUAU